This 392-nucleotide ribosomal RNA is filed under the name uncultured bacterium. RNAcentral describes it as "partial 16S ribosomal RNA". It matches the Rfam family "Bacterial small subunit ribosomal RNA", at positions 523 to 918 of the family's 1533-position model. The record is from RNAcentral.
AUACGGAGGAUCCGAGCGUUAUCCGGAUUUAUUGGGUUUAAAGGGUGCGCAGGCGGCCAUUUAAGUCAGCGGUUAAAUCGUGGGGCUCAACCCCAUUCUGCCGUUGAUACUGGGUGGCUUGAUUGCGGUCGAGGUUGGCGGAAUUAGUUGUGUAGCGGUGAAAUGCAUAGAUAUGAAGAAGAACACCGAUUGCGUAGGCAGCUGACCAGACCGCAAAUGACGCUCAUGCACGAAAGUGCGGGGAUCGAACAGGAUGAGAUACCUUGUUAGUCCGCACAGUAAACGAUGAAUACUUGUUUUCGGCGAUAUAAUGUCGGAGGAACAGCGAAAGCGAUAAGUAUUCCACCUUGGGAGUUCGACGGCAACGGUGAAACUCAAAGGAAUUGACGGGG